RNAcentral lists this ribosomal RNA (497 nucleotides) under uncultured bacterium. RNAcentral's name for it is "partial 16S ribosomal RNA". It matches the Rfam family "Bacterial small subunit ribosomal RNA", at positions 28 to 507 of the family's 1533-position model. The record is from RNAcentral.
GAUGAACGCUGGCGGCGUGCCUAAUACAUGCAAGUCGAGCGAACAGACGAGGAGCUUGCUCCUCUGACGUUAGCGGCGGACGGGUGAGUAACACGUGGAUAACCUACCUAUAAGACUGGGAUAACUUCGGGAAACCGGAGCUAAUACCGGAUAAUAUAUUGAACCGCAUGGUUCAAUAGUGAAAGACGGUUUUGCUGUCACUUAUAGAUGGAUCCGCGCCGCAUUAGCUAGUUGGUAAGGGAACGGCUUACCAAGGCAACGAUGCGUAGCCGACCUGAGAGGGUGAUCGGCCACACUGGAACUGAGACACGGUCCAGACUCCUACGGGAGGCAGCAGUAGGGAAUCUUCCGCAAUGGGCGAAAGCCUGACGGAGCAACGCCGCGUGAGUGAUGAAGGUCUUCGGAUCGUAAAACUCCGUUAUUAGGGAAGAACAAAUGUGUAAGUAACUAUGCACGUCUUGACGGUACCUAAUCAGAAAGCCACGGCUAACUACGUG